UUCAUCUUUCUAUUCUUCCUCCUCUACUGCCUUUAUCUUAAAUGCUUAAACUUCAUCCUCUUCCUUUCCUCCAUUAAACUUCCACCUUUUCCUUGUGUUUCCAGUUUAUUUCUUUUUAUUUUUACAUAUAUAUAAUAUGUAUAUAUUAAUAAAUAUAUAGUUCGUAAUUGCAAUUUGUGGCUACUGAAGCAGUCGUCUAUUAGAUCUGGGUUUUCUUCGAGUUUAAGAAUUGAGGUUGUUGAGAGAAGACUUUGUACAUGUAGGAAGGUAGAAGAGGCGAGAACGGUAAAAAAUGGUCCAAAAUUGGGAAUGAAGAUCUGGUUGUCCAUUGAUACCCUAUACGAGAUGAUUAGGUGGUUUAACGGGAGUAAUAUUGUGGAAACUCUCCAACAUCAACUUUUGAGGUUGAGAAAAAAAAUCAAAGAUGUUAAGAUACAUAAACUGCAUUAGAAGAAGGAUAAUUUGGAGAUGAAAAACGAGCUUCACGAAAUGCGUAUCGAGGUCCUGAAGUGUACAAGGAACGAGAAAACCUUCUUGGCCCUGUAUGGUGUCUAGUAUUUUAGACUACAUUGUAUCUGCAAUAUUGCAAUUUCAUACUUGAGAUAAUUUGUUACCAUUUGUUUUCUUAUUAUUCGAAUAACAAUUUGCCUA
Molecule: long non-coding RNA, 651 nt
Organism: Spinacia oleracea (spinach)
Lineage: Eukaryota; Viridiplantae; Streptophyta; Magnoliopsida; Caryophyllales; Amaranthaceae
Exons: 2
Source: RefSeq, a predicted model, not a curated record